RNAcentral lists this microRNA precursor (203 nucleotides) under Oryza nivara. RNAcentral's name for it is "MIR812 microRNA precursor family". It matches the Rfam family "MIR812 microRNA precursor family". The record is from Rfam by way of RNAcentral. Lineage: Eukaryota; Viridiplantae; Streptophyta; Magnoliopsida; Poales; Poaceae.
AAUAGAUGAUGCUGUUGACUUUUUCUCACGUGUUUGAUCAUUCAUCUUAUUCAAAAAUUUAUGUAAUUAUAACUUAUUUUGUUAUGAGUUGUUUUAUCACUCAUAGUACUUUAAGUGUGAUUUAUAUCUUAUACAUUUGUAUAAAAUUUUUAAAUAAGACGAAUGGUUAAACAUGUAAGAAAAAAUUAACGGUGUCAUUUAUU